RNAcentral lists this ribosomal RNA (465 nucleotides) under uncultured bacterium. RNAcentral describes it as "partial 16S ribosomal RNA". It matches the Rfam family "Bacterial small subunit ribosomal RNA", at positions 338 to 795 of the family's 1533-position model. The record is from RNAcentral.
CCUACGGGUGGCAGCAGUGGGGAAUAUUGCGCAAUGGGCGAAAGCCUGACGCAGCGACGCCGCGUGAGGGAUGAAGGUCUUCGGAUUGUAAACCUCUGUCAGCAGGGAAGAACGGUCACUGUGCUAAUCAGCAGUGAAUUGACGGUACCUGCAAAGGAAGCACCGGCUAACUCCGUGCCAGCAGCCGCGGCAAUACGGAGGGUGCGAGCGUUAAUCGGAAUUACUGGGCGUAAAGGGCUCGUAGGCGGUAUGUCAAGUCAAGGGUGAACUCCCCGCGCUCAACGUGGGAACUGCCUUUGAAACUGGCAAGCUGGAGUGUAUGAGAGGGUAGUGGAAUUCCAGGUGUAGGGGUGAAAGCCGUAGAUAUCUGGAGGAACAUCAGUGGCGAAGGCGACUAUCUGGCACAUAACUGACGCUGAGGAGCGAAAGCGUGGGUAGCAAACAGGAUUAGAUACCCCAGUAGUC